AUGGUCUGGGGAGAAGGCUCCUGUGUUGCUGGACCUGCCCGGCGUGGGUGCAGCCUUGUGCCAGGCAGCCCGACCCUGACCUACAGUAAGUGCCCCGGGGCCGAGUUGUCCCGGGGCCGCGAACUUGCAGUAACAGGUGUGAACAUUCUAGCAGCAGUUUGAUGAUCAUGUAUGAUACUGCAAACACAA
Molecule: non-coding RNA, 189 nt
Organism: Erinaceus europaeus (western European hedgehog)
Lineage: Eukaryota; Metazoa; Chordata; Mammalia; Eulipotyphla; Erinaceidae
Source: Rfam